UACAGAGGUCCCAAGCGUUGUUCGGAUUCACUGGGCGUAAAGGGUGCGUAGGCGGUCGGGUAAGUCGGAUGUGAAAUCUCACAGCUUAACUGUGAAACUGCAUUGGAUACUAUUCGGCUUGAGAGUUGGAGGGGGGACUGGAAUUCUUGGUGUAGCAGUGAAAUGCGUAGAUAUCAAGAGGAACACCAGUGGCGAAGGCGAGUCCCUGGACAACUUCUGACGCUGAGGCACGAAAGCUAGGGGAGCAAACAGG
RNAcentral lists this ribosomal RNA (253 nucleotides) under uncultured bacterium. RNAcentral's name for it is "partial 16S ribosomal RNA". It matches the Rfam family "Bacterial small subunit ribosomal RNA", at positions 524 to 776 of the family's 1533-position model. The record is from RNAcentral.